CCCGGACGUCACGGAGGAGCCGAGGCGGCGGUGGCGGCCCAGGACUCAGGCUGCACUUGCAUCAUGGGUGCAGCAGCAGCUGCCCCGCUCCUUUGUGCCUUUUUCCCCCUAUUGAGUAACUGCUUUGUUAACCGAAAAUACCAUGACGGACCAGUGUGAUCACCAGUUCCAGACCUCAAAGAAAGUGAAGCUGUCAGGCAAGAAGAGGGAGACUUCCCCCAGCCGGCUGUGAUGGGCUUGAGUUUGAGCCGGGGCCUCAUGCACACUAGGAGAGCCCCCUACCACUGAGCUACACCCCCGGUCCUCCACCAGCCUCUUCACUGGCCUCGUUAGCCUCACCAGACCAUUUUACACAACCCUGUGUAUCUCUGAUCUAUCUUCAGAUACGUGCUGCUAAAGUUUCAACAGUUUGUAGAGGUUUUUGGAAGCACCUACCCCAAGACAGAUGCAUGGAUACUAAAAACUGUGUUGGUUGCACAUAAUCUGAAGAAUUGGUUAUGCAUUCUGUAACAUCCAUUAGCUACUCUAUGAUUGAGCCAUCUUCCCUCUAAUCCCCUCAAGUUUCCCUUUCUGGAUCUGUGAAUAGAAAUAUCUGAGUCUCCCAGGACGUUUUCAAUGAGCAACACUGUGAUGUUCUGCAGCACUGACUUAGAGGACCUGUCUGGAUUUCUUGCUGGAGCCAGAGCAGAAUAAGGCUCUGGGAUGGCAUUUCGGGCAUUUCUCCUGUCUUUCUUCUCUGAGAUGCCCGGCAUCUUUGGAGACAGUUCCCAUAUACAGGGAAGAACCAUGUGAAGAUGUUCCCGGAUCAGUUCUUCAUUUCAGCAGGUGGUCCUCUCUGGAGGAAUAGUGUAAUCCAUUCACAGGGCCUUCAGUGAAUGCUCUCUCUACUCAGCCACCAGUUCAGGCACGUCAUCUAGCACAUGGCUGUCAGAGAGAACUUCCAUACAAGACUCCUUUGCUCUUCCCUUAUCGAUUACCCACCUGAGCUGGAAGGAGAGGGUUUCCACUCAUGAUGCUGUAAGAUCAAUCUUCUAAAGACUCAAGAACAAUAACCAGUUGCUGGAAGGAAGAGUGUUCCGGCCUGCUACACAGACAUAUUGACACAUAUGCGAGGAGACUGGAGCCCAAAGGAAAGUGAGAGCAAAAUCUGGCAAGAUUUGAGAGAAGAGGAAGACUAAAUUGCAGGAAAGGGGAAAGCUUUGUAUUUUCCUUAAAAGAUAGUAAAAUUGCCCAGCAGUGGUGGCAAAUAUCAUCAAUCCCAGCACUCAGGAGGCAGAGACAGGUAGAUCUCUGAGUUCAAAUCCAGCCUGGUCUACAGAGCUAGUUCCAGGACAGCUAAGGCUACACAGAAAAACCCUGCCUGGAAAAUAAAAACAAAUGAACAAAAAGUAAUAAAAUUAGGGCACACAGAAAUAUAGGGAAGGAAAAAUAUUACUGUCAGGUAGAAAGUAUAUUUGGCUUGCAAUUAACUGAAUUUUGGUUCAAUUUUCUCUAAUUCCUAGUUUCAUCUGUAAAAUGUAGGAUACUAAUAGCAAAACUUUGCUUCAGGAUUUUUUACGGUUAAAAAGGAUUAGUUACAUGCAAAUUCUCUGGCCAGCCCCUGGGUUGCCAAGCCUGUGUAGAAGACAUUGGAGACAACACCAAGCUGUGUGCUGAAGACUUGUCCUGCUCCUAUUAUUUGUUAAUUGUCUGGGAAAGUCUUAAAAAAUUGCUCAACCUUAGUUACUUCUUCUGUAAAAUAGGGACAAUUAUCACAGCAAUUUUAUAGGAACCAUUUAAAGAAGAAACAAGCUAGUUCAUAUAGAGUAAAAUAUUUGGUGCCGAAGUUCCUGCUGUUGAAUGACCACUGCAGAUGGCCAAGGAUUGACAGAGCUGCUGCUCUUGCAGGGACCCAGGAUUUGGUUCCUAAUAUCCAUAACAGCAAGUGUUCACAAUUGCCUGUAACUCUACUUCCAGGGGACACUGAGCUGUCUUCUGCCUCUGAGAACACUUGCACAAUACACUGGAAAUAAAAUGGAAAUAAUUAAAAAUAGUA
Molecule: non-coding RNA, 2035 nt
Organism: Cricetulus griseus (Chinese hamster)
Lineage: Eukaryota; Metazoa; Chordata; Mammalia; Rodentia; Cricetidae
Source: RefSeq, a predicted model, not a curated record